This 550-nucleotide long non-coding RNA is filed under the name Olea europaea subsp. europaea. The record is from RNAcentral. Lineage: Eukaryota; Viridiplantae; Streptophyta; Magnoliopsida; Lamiales; Oleaceae.
GCGAAAUAUCUAGGGCUGGACAAAACUCCCGAACCGAACCGAUCGAAUCGAACCCGAACCGAACAGAACCGAACCCGACGGUUCUUCUCAAGUUAAAUACCCGAACGGGUAUUUGAAUCAAGAACCGACGGGUAUGGUUCGGUUCUCGGUUCUAGGCCAAGACCCGAAUAACUGAAUAAGAACCGAAUCUCCGUAAUUUUUUAAAUUAAUUUAUUUUAAAUAAGUAAAAUUAUUUUAUUUUUUCUAAAUAAAUUUAUUAACUAGUUAAUUUAGUUCAAACCACAAAAUAUGAUUUUCCUAUUUCUAAUAUUCAGUUCAAAAUCGACUUAAUCAAAUUGACCUCAAUUUUAUCCAAAUCUGUUAUUCUACUGUAGUGUCAUUUCUACCGGAGAAAAUCGAAUUAAAGCUCUACAACAUCUCUCUUAAUUAUUUUGCGCUCGCUAUCUUUCUUUUUCUGUAAUUUUAAUAAUCAAAUUUAUGAAGAAUUCAGUAAAGAGAGACGUGAAACACAUAAAAUUGAACUACGUUAUUUUGUAAAAGCUAAUAUUAA